This 1241-nucleotide long non-coding RNA is filed under the name Piliocolobus tephrosceles (Ugandan red Colobus). Its description in RNAcentral is "lncRNA (ENSPTEG00000008788.1)". Lineage: Eukaryota; Metazoa; Chordata; Mammalia; Primates; Cercopithecidae. The record is from RNAcentral.
UUCAUAUCAAUUUUUACAGCAUUUUCGUUUGUAUUUUCGUUUGUAUCUCUGUCUGUAUCUCCAUUUGUAUCUCCGUUUGUAUUAUCAUUUUUAUGUUUUAAGUUUUUUUUACUCUCUAAAUCUUUUAAUAUGUAGUUCAUUUCGAACUCGGUUGAAGUACCUGCACAAAAGAGUAUAAUGAACAUGCAGGGAAAUUAGGAAAUGUAGCAAAAAUAGAAAAUGUAACAAAAAUAGAAAAUGUAACAAAAAUAGAAAAUGUGACAAAAAUAGAAAAUGUGACAAAAAUAGAAAAUGUAACAAAAAUAGAAAAUGUAACAAAAAUAGAAAAUGUGACAAAAAUAGAAAAUGUGACAAAAAUAGAAAAUGUGACACAUAAAUAGUUUAAUAAAAUUAUAAAUUGCUUAAUUAGUAUAUUACUUGCUAUAAAUAUGUUUGAAUCUGGGUAUGUAUCAAUUAUAUAUCUCGAAAAUUCUAAAUUUUCGUCACCUAUUAUUAAAAUAUUAUUAUUAUUAUUUAUUUGUUCAUCUUCUUCAUCUUGUUCACUUUCCUCAUCAUCUGAUUUGUUAUUCAAAUUGUUAUAUUCUGAACUGUCAUCGUCUAAAUCGUUGUUGUUUAUACUAUGCUCAAUCACACCAUCAUAAUCCACAACUUCAUCAACCACAUCUCCAUCAACCACAUCUCCAUCAACCACAACUUCAUCAUCCACAUCUCCAUCAACCACAUCUCCAUCAACCACAUCUCCAUCAACCACAUCUCCAUCAACCACGUCUCCAUCAACCACAUAUCCAUCAACCACAUCUCCAUCAACCACGUCUCCAUUAAUCAUGUCUCCAUUAAUCAUACCCUCAUCAUAUCCACCAUCUUCAACCAAGCUUUGAAUAUAACCAUUUUCUAACAUAAUAUCCUGUCCUUUUAAGUCUUUAUUUUCAUCCACAUGGUUAUGAACAUACACUCCUAUUUCAUUACCCAAAUCACUAUUUAUCGGUAAACUACUCGGUUCUUCUAUCAUUCCAUUUUUUUUCGAAUCGUUGUAAGUGUUGUCAUUUAAAUUAUCACUUUCAUUUGUUAUUUUUAAAUCCAAAUUUUCAUUACUUAAACUUUUUUGAAUUUCAUUCGUGUUCAUUAUUAAAAAAAAAAAAAAAAAAAAAAAUUAGCACUUAAGAUUUGUUUUUAAUAUACAGUGUUUUUUUAAUUAACAAAUAAUACUUGUUUUGAAAAAUGUAUAUAUAUAUAUAUAUACA